Uranotaenia lowii is the source of this 1974-nucleotide long non-coding RNA. RefSeq lists it as uncharacterized. Lineage: Eukaryota; Metazoa; Arthropoda; Insecta; Diptera; Culicidae. The transcript is spliced from 3 exons. The record is from RefSeq and is a predicted model, not a curated record.
GAAUAUGAAAUGCAUUGAACAGAAAUGCGCUUGUUUAUUCCAUCAAAUUCCAUCAAUGAUAAAUUUUAAUAGAAUUUUCAAUAAAAUAAAUCUCUCGACUUGUUUUGGUGUACAGUUAAGAUAUUUUCAUCUUUCAAAAUGGCGGAAGAGGAACACCGACUGUUGGACGAUCUUUGUUGUGCUGGUUUAGGCAGGGAUUUUAUUCAAACAUUGAGUGAUUGUGGAAUCGGUUUGAAAGAACUGUGUUCUUUAACAUUGGCUCAGCUGACGGGUCUGCUCGAUUUUCUGGGGGAUCUUAAUUUUUUGCUGUCAGCUCCCUUCGUUUCAAAACUAAAACCUAGUUGAUUGCUGGUAUUCAGCUUAGUUUUCGCAAAUGAUGCGAUGGACAAAUAUUUAUCAGCGAUCGCUGUGAGGCGGGCCGAAUGAAAGGUCAAGUUCGCCGAGAAAUCUAUCGCCACUUUCGCCUUGGAAAACAGUUAAACCGAUACUUUUCGUAAAUGGUUUCGAAAUUUAUUAAGUAAGGAUAAAAUGAACGAUUCAACUUUGCAAUUAUCGUCGAAGUUUUUUUCCGGAAGUUUCAGUGCAAAUUAUUAUUGUCGGUUCUGCAAACGUAGUAAAGAGUAUUUGAGCAUAGAUGAGCACGAAAUCACAUAGUACUUAAGAAAUAGAACAAAUUUUUUGAACGACAUCGAACUAGUCAACCAAUCGGAAACAGGAAUUAGAGGAUUAAGUAUUCUGAACAAGUUACCAUCGUUUUGUUCUGUUGAAAACUUGAGUGUAGACUUUAUGCACGGUCUUUUUAGUUCGGGCGUCUGCAAUACGGCCUGAUAAACAUAAUUAAUUAUUGUAUCUAUUAUAAAAAAAUUUACAAAGCUUAAUACGAUAAACACGCGAAUAAAAAUGGUUAGUUCAAAAGAUUUGAAUGAAGCUUUAACGAGAAUGCCACAAUUAGAAGAAACCACAAUAUCGGCUUCAAAGAGAAAAACUUUUUCUUUAAAAUGCACUGCGAGUGAGAUGAAAUCUUUUCUCUAUUUACUAUCUUUUGUGCUAGGGCCUUUUUUUCUAUAGAUGACCCAGUUUGGGAAUACUCAAGAACAUUGAUUGAAAUGGUUGAUUUAAUUUUGUUUCCUAAAUUCAGUUAUGAGCAGAUCGAAGAAUUAGCUUCAAUAAUUUCUAAACACCACAAACUUUAUAAACAACUGUUCAAAGAUCCAUUAAAACCAAAGCAUCACUUUCUUGUGCAUUAUCCUUCAAUAAUUCAAAAUAACGGUCCUGUCGUAAACAUGAUGUGCUUCCGGUUUGAGGCUAAACACAGAAAGUUCAAGCAGUAUGCAAACAUAAUUUCGUCCCGUGAAAACAUCUGUCUAACGUUGUCAACCAAAGCGUGUCUACAAUUUUCUUUUGAUGUAGCAACAAAAUCAUUUUUCAAACCUGAUGUUGAAUUUCAUGGUAGAUCGUCCACGUUAUUUGAUCGAUCCUAUUUUGAUAAAGUUGUUUCUCCUCUUCCAUUAAACAUACACGAAAAUUUAUUGAUUACUUUCAGUUUUAAGUUCAACAAUUUAUUUUUGUUUCAAAUCAGGUUCAUUUCUCACAAUAACUUCUAUUGGAAUAACUGAGCUGUAUCAAAUCAUAGAGCUGAUUGUAGUGAACCAUGAUGUUUAUGUUGUUGGCCAACUCUGGCAAUGUGGACAAUUUAAUGAACAUUUUCAAGCUCAAGAAGCACUUCAUCCUCUUGUAAAAAUAAUCGACUUUUAAGAAUUUGAUGGUCCUCCAGUUACGUACGAAAUUCAAAAUAAUUAUUAUUUUAUAAUUAAAAACAGCUUCAGUCAACUAGAAUUAAAUUUAAUUUGUGAUGUAAAAUUUAUGUCAGGUAGAAUAAGAACAAAAUUUGUGAUUCGAAAUUCCAUGUAGUCAGGUAUAGCAUAAGAAUAUAAUUUUGUGAUGAGAAAUUUCAUGUUGUCAGAUAAAAUAAGA